Non-coding RNA from Chrysemys picta bellii (western painted turtle), 1314 nucleotides. Lineage: Eukaryota; Metazoa; Chordata; Testudines; Emydidae. The record is from RefSeq and is a predicted model, not a curated record.
AGGAAGGGGCUCUCCAGAGACGUCCUUGAACUUGGACUCCUGAGAGCAUUUCUGGCAGGAGACUGCAGCCCCUCGGGCAUGAAGAGAGCAUCGGGUAGUCUUGAUCACCUGGCAUCUCCGGUCUCCAGCUCCACGUUCCACAGCAGUGGGGUUUCUCCAGCCCCCUCACCACACCUGUCAGCCUCUGAAUGUCAGAGUCACCAGAACGAGCAAACUCCAGUUCCAGGCAGUGGGGCCUGUGUCUCCUCAGUCCCUCAGGAAACCAGCUCUGAAAUGGGGAGCAAGGACCCCAGGCCAAGAACAGUCUGAGUGGGCAGAGCAGGACUGUAACAGGGUGAUUUUCCCUGGGCUGCACAGCCUGGGGCCUAGCCAAACUGAUUAUAGAAUGAGCCCUAACUGAGAGGCAAAAGGAGAGGCCAGCCCCUUCCACCUCCCCUCCCCCUGGAGCCUCACUAAACUAUCAAAAAUGAUAUACAGUGGAGUCACAUCUUACGUGGGGGUUAGGUUCUAAGGUCAGCGCAUGUUAGGGUUCCUGAGGGGAAAGCCCGGGGAAAGCGCAGCAAAGGUACAGGAGCAGGCCUAGCUGUUUGGUACAGGGCCUUGGGGCAGAACCUAGAAUCCAUGGUUCUCCCAUGGUCUCUAAGGAAGGGGACGUACAAGGCCAGAGAAAGGGCUACCAAGGCCAGCAAGGGCAAGUCGAGCCAAAGUCAGGCUGAGGAAAAGCCCCGAAGGGACGGAGGAACUUGUUUUGGUUAAAGACAUGUUUGGACUCUUCGUUUGGGACGAGCGACCCAGGAAGGAGUGGACUAAAAGAUGGUCACCUGGCUGAAGGGCUGAGUUCCCAGGCAAAAAGCUGCCCGAGUGCCCUAGCACUUUGGGUAGGGGUGCUAGCCCAGCAGGAAAGCUGUGACCCCAGACCUGGCCAGGAAGGGGCACCUAGCGGUUCUGUCCCAGCCUGUCACCCAGAUCCUGCAGCCAGCCCAGCUCAGGGAGCAGUGGGGACAGGUCAUCUCACCCUGUCAAACCAAGCAACAUGGGUCCCAUUGAGGCGCAGAUGGAAGAUCCCAUGUACCUCCUGGAGAGGAUGUGUCCACGAUCCUGGAGACUGUUUCCUGCUGCAGGAGGUUUGAGCAGGGAGAGAACUCGCUGUCACCACCCAGGGGUCUUCAGCCCGGGUCUGCGGGGUUCAUGGGAGCAGCCACACUCCAACCCCCCACCUGGAAGCCUGCUGAAAAUUGCUUACCUCGGACCCAUGAAGUUCAGCCCCAGUUUGAGGCUCCACUAGACUCCACCCACUUCCGAAGUCAGAGAAUC